AAAUCACUUCAAAUAUUGAUAUUACUAUUAAGUACGAGGAGCAGGGAGAUAUUUACAACUUUGUCACUGAAACCAACAUGAGUCAGUGGAUAAAGGAAGACUGAAGUGGCCAAGAGGGAAAAGCAUUUACGGAAAGGGAAUAAAAUGAGCGGCAGAAAGAAGAGCUACGCCGCAACGACGGAGAACGAUGCUGUGGAUCAGCUGUUGCAAGCGGCGCAGGAUGAGAUGCUCUUAGAACUCUCUGUCGACAGUCACAUGUCACGUGUGGCACCUGAUUAUCUCAACCCUGAUCUCCGCCGUCGAUUCCAGGCUCUCCGAUCCCGACCUUCCUCUUCCCAUUCACAACAGAAGAAACAAUCAUCGGCACCACCACCAUCGCCGCCGAAACCACAGCCGGAGCAAAAAGAAGACGAAGAGAAAAAGGAUCGAAAAUCGAAGGUUGUCGUUCCCGACAAUGUCGACGAGGAACUGAAGGCUGUGUUGGGCGAUGAUCUCUCCGCACGAUUCGCUGCUCUCAAGGCUUCCUUGUCUUCAUCUUCUUCUAAUCCUACUGCUGCUACUAGUAUUUCCACUAACGAAGUUCGUAUCGGUCUCGAAAAAUCCGACGGCGAAGAUGAUGAGGAAGAUGAAGUUGAAAGAGUGGUCCAAUGGGCCAAGGAUGCUGCUCGCCUUGACCCUUCUCCUGCCUCUGAUGAAGAUGAUGAUGACCUAAUCGGUUCUGAUUCCGAUGAUAAAGAUACUGACUAUGAUGAUGAUCCUAAACAUAAAAAAAAGGAAUCAAAACUUAGGAAAUGAGGGUCUCCUUAAAGAGCAGCCUUGCAGCAAUAAUCCAUUGCCAAGCCUGAAACUUUUAAUCCUAUUUUUAUCGAACAUGUUCAUGUUCAGAUUGGAUGCAGUGAAUACUUUCAGCAGAGUUGUUCAUUAUCAACCUGAUUAUAGCAAUAAAUCUUCAUAUAAUGGACGGUUGUUUAUGCUUUCAAGAAGCAGGGGAUGACGCUAAACUUCUGGCAUUUUAAGCUCAUGUCUGUCAAGUUUGAUCUUGCCUUUUUGGUGUUUGAUUAAGUUUCUUGAGAAUUAUAAUUUGUUAAUAUGUGAUGUUGAGAAUUAUAUAUACUUAAAAGGAAAAAAAAAAAAAAAAGAGUUGAAUCUGAUUGUUUUGUCCUUUGGUUCCUCUCAAAUCUGAAUGAACCUCUGGUUAUUUCACCUUUUAUACGGUGCCAUCAAAAGUUAUACCUGUUUAACUAUUUGCUCUUGUGAUGACUGAAAACUGGCGCAAACCAAUUUUUAGUCUAAAAUAAGUGAUGUUUAUGGGUAGGGUUGGGUUUAAUUUAUGCAUGUUUUUUCAAGCUUUGUGAUGGACAGGUAACAAGCUAAUAUCAGCUAUGCAAAUGCUCAAGUUCAGGGCGGGUCACAUUGAUAAUGAUUUACUCAUUGCUUAUUAAUUUGCCAUUGACUUUGGUUGUGCACAAAAGUGAAAUCUAAACAGUCCUCAACAUUUUAGCUUGGAAAAAUGUCCAAUAUUUUGGUGUCAACAAGAAAUGCUUCACCGGUUAUGAAUUCUUCACUUUGCUGAAUAAGUUUGGUGAAAUCUUGAAGGUUAAAAUGUGCUGAUAAUCCCUGGACAUGUAUACAAUUUGAGAUUUGGUUCCUGUAUUUUGAAAGUUAAAAAUUCAAUCUCGAUUGACAUCCGUAUUAUUACCAAUACAAGAGAUGUGGGUUCAAGUUAGGUGUUAAGAAUGAAUUAUGUCUACUUCUAGACAUUGUAUAAAAAAUAAUAAUCUUUUUACUUUUUUCAAUUUAAAAA
This is an RNA transcript of Gossypium arboreum, 1804 nucleotides long. RefSeq lists it as uncharacterized. The record is from RefSeq and is a predicted model, not a curated record. The transcript is spliced from 3 exons. Lineage: Eukaryota; Viridiplantae; Streptophyta; Magnoliopsida; Malvales; Malvaceae.